GACGAGCGCUGGCGGCGUGCUUAACACAUGCAAGUCGAACGGAAAGGCCCUGCUUUUGUGGGGUGCUCGAGUGGCGAACGGGUGAGUAACACGUGAGUAACCUGCCCUUGACUUUGGGAUAACUUCAGGAAACUGGGGCUAAUACCGGAUAGGAGCUCCUGCUGCAUGGUGGGGGUUGGAAAGUUUCGGCGGUUGGGGAUGGACUCGCGGCUUAUCAGCUUGUUGGUGGGGUAGUGGCUUACCAAGGCUUUGACGGGUAGCCGGCCUGAGAGGGUGACCGGCCACAUUGGGACUGAGAUACGGCCCAGACUCCUACGGGAGGCAGCAGUGGGGAAUAUUGCACAAUGGGCGGAAGCCUGAUGCAGCAACGCCGCGUGCGGGAUGACGACCUUCGGGUUGUAAACCGCUUUCGCCUGUGACGAAGCGUGAGUGACGGUAAUGGGUAAAGAAGCACCGGCUAACUACGUG
Molecule: ribosomal RNA, 468 nt
Filed under: uncultured bacterium
Lineage: Bacteria
Description: partial 16S ribosomal RNA
Rfam family: Bacterial small subunit ribosomal RNA
Source: RNAcentral